Molecule: long non-coding RNA, 535 nt
Filed under: Mytilus galloprovincialis (Mediterranean mussel)
Lineage: Eukaryota; Metazoa; Mollusca; Bivalvia; Mytilida; Mytilidae
Source: RNAcentral
CAACACUUUGGAUAAAAUCUAAAGAAUGGUUCAGCCCAUACAAUGGUGGCAGACAUUUUGAAAAACAAUUUUGAAUAACAUUUUUCUUGUUUUAAUUAUUUUAAAACUGUCAUAUCGUGGCCUUUUAUAGCUGAGUACGAGGUAUGUAUUUUGCCAAAAAUAUGAAACAAUUCAAUGGAGAAAACUAACGGCCUAAUUUAUAGCAAAACAGUUUUUGAAUAUGACAAACAUGAACCAACAAAGACCACUGAACUACAGGCUCCCUACUUUGGACAGGCACAUAAAGAAUGUGGCAGGGAUAAACAACUUUGUUAGUGCUCAACUCUCACCUUACCUGGGACAGUGGUGUUAUAGUACAACAUAAGUAAAAAUUACAAAAAUCAGUUGAAAAAGGCUUAACUCAUCAGAUGGAUACAAAUAAAAAUACAUCAUAAAAACAAAAAGACACUAAAUACAGAUCUGAGAGUUCUCAGUUACUGACAGCUAGUUCAAAUCCAAUACCAAUUUAUGAAGAAAAUCAUAUAUCUAAGACCAA